Molecule: ribosomal RNA, 1323 nt
Filed under: metagenome
Description: bacterial SSU rRNA
Rfam family: Bacterial small subunit ribosomal RNA
Source: RNAcentral
UGAGCAGGAAAGCAGGGGACCGCAAGGCCUUGCGCUCUUUGAGCGGCCGAUGUCAGAUUAGCUAGUUGGUGAGGUAAAGGCUUACCAAGGCGACGAUCUGUAGCGGGUCUGAGAGGAUGAUCCGCCACACUGGAACUGAGACACGGUCCAGACUCCUACGGGAGGCAGCAGUGGGGAAUUUUGGACAAUGGGGGCAACCCUGAUCCAGCCAUGCCGCGUGAGUGAAGAAGGCCUUCGGGUUGUAAAGCUCUUUCGGCCGGGAAGAAAUCGCAUGGGCCAAUACCCUGUGUGGAUGACGGUACCGGAAUAAGAAGCACCGGCUAACUACGUGCCAGCAGCCGCGGUAAUACGUAGGGUGCGAGCGUUAAUCGGAAUUACUGGGCGUAAAGCGUGCGCAGGCGGUUUUGUAAGACAGGCGUGAAAUCCCCGGGCUUAACCUGGGAACUGCGUUUGUGACUGCAAGGCUAGAGUACGGCAGAGGGGGGUGGAAUUCCACGUGUAGCAGUGAAAUGCGUAGAGAUGUGGAGGGACACCAAUGGCGAAGGCAGCCCCCUGGGUCGAUACUGACGCUCAUGCACGAAAGCGUGGGUAGCAAACAGGAUUAGAUACCCUGGUAGUCCACGCCCUAAACUAUGUCAACUAGGUGUUGGGUGGGUAAAACCAUUUAGUACCGUAGCUAACGCGUGAAGUUGACCGCCUGGGGAGUACGGCCGCAAGGUUAAAACUCAAAGGAAUUGACGGGGACCCGCACAAGCGGUGGAUGAUGUGGAUUAAUUCGAUGCAACGCGAAAAACCUUACCUACCCUUGACAUGCCAGGAACUUGCCAGAGAUGGCUUGGUGCCCGAAAGGGAGCCUGGACACAGGUGCUGCAUGGCUGUCGUCAGCUCGUGUCGUGAGAUGUUGGGUUAAGUCCCGCAACGAGCGCAACCCUUGUCGUUAAUUGCCAUCAUUUAGUUGGGCACUUUAACGAGACUGCCGGUGACAAACCGGAGGAAGGUGGGGAUGACGUCAAGUCCUCAUGGCCCUUAUGGGUAGGGCUUCACACGUCAUACAAUGGUCGGUACAAAGGGUUGCCAAGCCGCGAGGCGGAGCCAAUCCCAGAAAGCCGAUCGUAGUCCGGAUUGCAGGCUGCAACUCGCCUGCAUGAAGUCGGAAUCGCUAGUAAUCGUGGAUCAGCAUGUCACGGUGAAUACGUUCCCGGGUCUUGUACACACCGCCCGUCACACCAUGGGAGCGGGUUCCGCCAGAAGUAGGUAGCCUAACCGCAAGGGGGGCGCUUACCACGGCGGGGUUCGUGACUGGGGUGAAGUCGUAACAAGGUA